UGCUGAAAUAAAAGUUAACUAUAAACAUGCGAGUCAGCUUACGAAAUUAACAUUUAUAAUGAUAAUAAAAUGAUUUUCAUUUUAUACAAUAGAUUCUUUGUAUGCUUUUAUAUCGUAGAUGCUUGCAUAUUAAUGAUCAAUAUCUCUUUUAUAAUUUUGUAUCAUUAAUAUCAAUUCAGCUUUGUUACGUGUUAUAUUUAUCAAAAGUAUAAAGACGAUUAUGAAUCGAAACAACAUAAUCUUCUGAUAAAACUUUAAAAUACAAACGUAUCUUUUCUUAAUCAUUUAUCUUGUAUUAAUCUUAUUUAUGUUACAAUGAUUAUCUUCGUUUUGACGCCUAUCUCUACAAUAUAACGAUGAAAGUUUUUCCAUUGCGAACACUUGUGCGGAGAUAAAUAAUGUUAUUUUUGCAAAAAUUGAUAUAAAAACAUAAUAAUUGUACUGAUUAAAUGAUUUUAUAAUUAUAUACCAUAGUUGGAAGUCUUCUCCAAUAACUCCAGUAUUCAAACUAAAUAUUCAUGCAUUAAUCAUAUGAAAAUCGCAAAAAAAAAAGAAAAUAAGACGUUAUAAAACUGUAACGUUUUUUAUCUGAUAGUGUUAUUUAACGAGCGAUCGCAGGAUAGGCAUCGACUAUUCAAGUCCUGCUAUACUUGUAUUACUGUUGAGACCACCAAGAACAUAACCUCACUAAAACGGUUCUGCAGAUUAUUUUUCCAAUCUCAAUGGGGCUUCUUAAAGACAAAAAUCCGACAUGGUCAAUUCGUGAAAGUUUGUAAACAUUAUUAAACAUGACUGUGGUUAAAAAUAAUACAACCAAACAAUGAGUUAAA
Vespula pensylvanica (western yellowjacket) is the source of this 830-nucleotide long non-coding RNA. RefSeq lists it as uncharacterized. The transcript has 2 exons. The record is from RefSeq and is a predicted model, not a curated record. NCBI's taxonomy places the organism in Eukaryota, Metazoa, Arthropoda, Insecta, Hymenoptera, Vespidae.